This 1429-nucleotide ribosomal RNA is filed under the name uncultured Bordetella sp. RNAcentral describes it as "partial 16S-23S ribosomal RNA intergenic spacer". It matches the Rfam family "Bacterial small subunit ribosomal RNA". Lineage: Bacteria; Pseudomonadati; Pseudomonadota; Betaproteobacteria; Burkholderiales; Alcaligenaceae. The record is from RNAcentral.
GGUUUGAUCCUGGCUCAGGAUUAAACUGCUUGGCGGAUGCUUUAGCUACAUGCAAGUCGGACGGCAGCGGACUUCGGUCUGGUGGCGAGUGCGAACUGGCAUAAUGUAUCGGAACGUGCCUAUAGGGGAUAACUACGCGAAAGCGGCACACCGCAUGGCCCUUCGGGGUAUGGGGACCUUCGGGCCUUCUGGGAACAACUAUUGAUGUCGGGAUAUCGGACAGCUAGUUGGUGUAACGGCUCACCAAGGCAGACGAGAUCCCAGUUGUCGAGGACAGACCAGCCGCCACUGGGACUGAGAGACGCCGAGACUCUGCCAGAGGCAGCAGUGGGGAAUUUUGGACAAUGGGGGAAACCCUGAUCCAGCCAUCCCGCGUGUGGUGAUGAAGGCUCCUUGGGUUGUAAAGCACUUUUGUAGAUGAACGGCACGGGAUAAUACCGUGCAACUGACGGUACCUGCAGAAUAAGCACCCACUUAACUACGUGCCAGCAGCCGCGGUAUUACGUAGGUGCAAGCGUUAAUCGGAAUUGAUUGGGCGAAGCGUGCGCAGGUAUCUGAAGAAAGAUGUGAAAAUCCCAGAGCGGAAUCUGGAACUGCAUUUAACUACUGAUUAGAGUGUGGUGUCAGAGGGAGGUGGAAUUUCGUGUAGCAGUGAAUGCGUAGAUAUGCGGAGAGCACCGAUGGCGAAGGUAGCCUCUUGGAUAACACUGACGUUCAUACGUGAAAGCGGGAGCAAAUGGCAUUGACACUGUAGAACUAAUGCCCAAAUGAUGCCAACUUAGCCGUUGGGGCCUUCGGGCUCGGUAGCAGCUAUCGUGAAGCAGAUCGCCUGGGAGCACACCAAGAUACCAUUCGAAACUGAAGAAUGAUUGGGGACCGCACAAGCGCGGGAUACAGAUUAAUCGACGCAAUUGCGAAAAACUCUACCUACCCUCGACAUGUCAACCUGAACAGAUUUGGGAGCACUGGUGAGAACCGAACACAGGGAAGCAUGGCUGUCGUCAGCUCGUGUCGCAGAUGUUGGGUUAGUCCCACCAUGCAACCUUGCCGCGAGUUACAUGAAAGGGCACUCUAAUGAGAUCGCCGGUGACAAACCGGAGGUUGGGACACGUCAAGUCCUCAUGGUCCUAUGGGUGGUGGGCUUCACACGUCAUACAAUGGUCGGGACAGAGGGUCGCCAACCCGCGAGGGGAUUAAUCCAGAAACCCGAUCGUAGUCCGGAUCGCAGCUCAACCCGACUGCGUGAAGUCGGAAUCGCUAGUAAUCGCGGAUCAGCAUAUGUCGCGGUGAAUACGUUCCCGGGUCUUGUACACACCGCCCGUCACACCAUGGGAGUGGGUUUUACCAGGCGCAGCAGCCUAAUCCGUAAGGAGGGCGAUUACCACGGUAGGAUUCAUGACUGGGGUGAAGUCGUAACAAGGUAGUCCCA